AACAAGGCGUACCUGCGGACCUGCGGAGGGAUCAUUACAAGUGACCCCGGUUUACCACCGGGAUGUUCAUAACCCUUUGUUGUCCGACUCUGUUGCCUCCGGGGCGACCCUGCCUUCGGGCGGGGGCUCCGGGUGGACACUUCAAACUCUUGCGUAACUUUGCAGUCUGAGUAAACUUAAUUAAUAAAUUAAAACUUUUAGCAACGGAUCU
RNAcentral lists this unclassified non-coding RNA (211 nucleotides) under soil metagenome. Its description in RNAcentral is "partial contains 5.8S ribosomal RNA, internal transcribed spacer 2, and large subunit ribosomal RNA". The record is from RNAcentral.